Molecule: ribosomal RNA, 496 nt
Filed under: uncultured bacterium
Lineage: Bacteria
Description: partial 16S ribosomal RNA
Rfam family: Bacterial small subunit ribosomal RNA
Source: RNAcentral
AUGAACGCUGGCGGCGUGCCUAAUACAUGCAAGUCGCGCGAACGGACGAGAAGCUUGCUUCUCUGAUGUUAGCGGCGGACGGGUGAGUAACACGUGGAUAACCUACCUAUAAGACUGGGAUAACUUCGGGAAACCGGAGCUAAUACCGGAUAAUAUUUUGAACCGCAUGGUUCAAAAGUAAAAGACGGUCUUGCUGUCACUUAUAGAUGGAUCCGCGCUGCAUUAGCUAGUUGGUAAGGUAACGGCUUACCAAGGCAACGAUGCAUAGCCGACCUGAGAGGGUGAUCAGCCACACUGGAACUGAGACACGGUCCAGACUCCUACGGGAGGCAGCAGUAGGGAAUCUUCCGCAAUGGGCGAAAGCCUGACGGAGCAACGCCGCGUGAGUGAUGAAGGUCUUCGGAUCGUAAAACUCUGUUAUUAGGGAAGAACAUAUGUGUAAGUAACUGUGCACAUCUUGACGGUACCUAAUCAGAAAGCCACGGCUAACUACGUG